This 74-nucleotide transfer RNA is filed under the name Brevundimonas sp. GW460-12-10-14-LB2. Its description in RNAcentral is "tRNA-Val". The record is from RNAcentral. Lineage: Bacteria; Pseudomonadati; Pseudomonadota; Alphaproteobacteria; Caulobacterales; Caulobacteraceae.
UCUCGCCUUUUGCGGGGUCGCCAACCUCGUUCACACCGAGGGGGUCACAGGUUCAAUCCCUGUCGCGUCCACCA